RNAcentral lists this ribosomal RNA (465 nucleotides) under Vreelandella stevensii. RNAcentral describes it as "partial 16S ribosomal RNA". It matches the Rfam family "Bacterial small subunit ribosomal RNA", at positions 338 to 795 of the family's 1533-position model. The record is from RNAcentral. Lineage: Bacteria; Pseudomonadati; Pseudomonadota; Gammaproteobacteria; Oceanospirillales; Halomonadaceae.
CCUACGGGGGGCUGCAGUGGGGAAUAUUGGACAAUGGGGGGAACCCUGAUCCAGCCAUGCUGCGUGUGUGAAGAAGGCCCUCGGGUUGUAAAGCACUUUCAGUGAGGAAGAACGCCUGGUGGUUAAUACCCAUCAGGAAAGACAUCACUCACAGAAGAAGCACCGACUAACUCCGUGCCAGCAGCCGCGGUAAUACGGAGGGUGCGAGCGUUAAUCGGAAUUACUGGGCGUAAAGCGCGCGUAGGUGGCUUGAUAAGCCGGUUGUGAAAGCCCCGGGCUCAACCUGGGAACGGCAUCCGGAACUGUCAAGCUAGAGUGCAGGAGAGGAAGGUAGAAUUCCCGGUGUAGCGGUGAAAUGCGUAGAGAUCGGGAGGAAUACCAGUGGCGAAGGCGGCCUUCUGGACUGACACUGACACUGAGGUGCGAAAGCGUGGGUAGCAAACAGGAUUAGAUACCCCGGUAGUC